AACGAACGCUGGCGGCAUGCCUAACACAUGCAAGUCGAACGAGACCUUCGGGUCUAGUGGCGCACGGGUGCGUAACGCGUGGGAACCUGCCCUUAGGUUCGGAAUAACUCCCCGAAAGGGGUGCUAAUACCGGAUAAUGUCUUCGGACCAAAGAUUUAUCGCCUUUGGAUGGGCCCGCGUUGGAUUAGCUAGUUGGUAGGGUAAAAGCCUACCAAGGCGACGAUCCAUAGCUGGUCUGAGAGGAUGAUCAGCCACACUGGGACUGAGACACGGCCCAGACUCCUACGGGAAGCAGCAGUGGGGAAGAUUGGACAGUGGGCGAAAGCCUGAUCCAGCAAUGCCGCGUGAGUGAUGAAGGCCUUAGGGUUGUAAAGCUCUUUUACCCGGGAUGAUAAUGACAGUACCGGGAGAAUAAGCUCCGGCUAACUCCGUG
This 433-nucleotide ribosomal RNA is filed under the name uncultured bacterium. RNAcentral's name for it is "partial 16S ribosomal RNA". It matches the Rfam family "Bacterial small subunit ribosomal RNA", at positions 29 to 507 of the family's 1533-position model. The record is from RNAcentral.